GUUGUGGUUGGGAUUGGGUUGCCGUGGUCCUUUGGUGUAAAGGAGGUAGCCGUGUGGGAUCCUUGGGACCAAGAGAGGCUGACUUGCUUGGUGAUAGCAAGUGCCGCACGGGAUUUUGAGGUUUUUGGGUUGAAAAAAAAACUGUCCCGUGACAGUUGGUAUCAGAGCUCCAAGGGGAGAAGUGUUUCGGCAAAAAUGGCAGAAGUAAGUGACAAGGCGCAGUGCAGUCCUUUGUUGGUGGAACAAGCAGCUAGUGUGAAAACCAAGUGGUUGGGCAAAUUCAUGAGCUCUUCUCAAAUAAGAGAGGAGUUGGGAAACCUUGCAACAAGGCUAGACAAGUUGACGCAUGAAAAUGAGGUUCAGAAAAAUGUUCAUGCCGAGGAGAUGGCCACCGUGAGAGAAGACAACCAUGUUCUUAAAGAAGAGGUAGAAAGAUUGAAGGGAGAAAUGGAGGAAAUGCGGGGAAAAUUUGUGAUGCUUGCAAGAUUGGUGGCCCGAAAAUGUGGGACCAAUCCUCACUCCACAUUCUCUACCCCUACGGCAAAGGUGGAGAGACCUAAGCCGUGCGCAUCCAAGAGUGAAGGAAGCGUGAAGGAAAACUUCCACAGCCGGGAGAAGGACCGAGGAAGAGGUUCAAGGGCAGUGUUGA
RNAcentral lists this unclassified non-coding RNA (649 nucleotides) under Hevea brasiliensis (rubber tree). Lineage: Eukaryota; Viridiplantae; Streptophyta; Magnoliopsida; Malpighiales; Euphorbiaceae. The record is from RNAcentral.